Long non-coding RNA from Salvia splendens (bonfire salvia), 484 nucleotides. RefSeq lists it as uncharacterized. Lineage: Eukaryota; Viridiplantae; Streptophyta; Magnoliopsida; Lamiales; Lamiaceae. The transcript is spliced from 3 exons. The record is from RefSeq and is a predicted model, not a curated record.
CAAUUUAUCGCUUCAAGCGCCCUGAUGGCCCGCGCAUUUUCGGCUUGGGUGGACGAUUUCAAUCAAAUUCCAGUGGAGCUGCUAGAUGACGAGUGCUUCCGUGUUGGGAGCCAUUUGUUUAUGAUGUCCCGGAUAUCAUCAAAACUGGUGCGGGUGUUGUUGGACAACAACUCCCGGUAUCAGAGUUGGCACCUGGCGGGGAAUUACGGAGCACUACUGAGGCACAGGUGACUGCUUCACGAGAAGAAGCUGGCCGUUUGCCAAUUGUGGUUAGGACAGACGUAGGUGGUACCAGGGCAACAAGGAAAAGCAAGUCAUCGACAGCGGCCCUAAAGUCAGGGGCGUUAGGACAGAGUGGUGGAGUUGUAGGGGGCAGUGCCAAGGUUAAGGAUGACAACGCACAACAGAAAAGUAAGGGAGACGCACCAAAGGGAAUGAAGGGGAAAUAGUCGUUGGAUCCCAAGGUAUAAGUGGAAAAUAAAAU